Bolinopsis microptera is the source of this 2180-nucleotide long non-coding RNA. RefSeq lists it as uncharacterized. Lineage: Eukaryota; Metazoa; Ctenophora; Tentaculata; Lobata; Bolinopsidae. The record is from RefSeq and is a predicted model, not a curated record. The transcript is spliced from 3 exons.
CCUCAACAACAUGAUAUAGUUUCCUCUGUCUCACUGAGAAAUUUUUCUAGGUAAAUUACAUAGCCUUCCUUGCUAUAUGAUAUAAUUUAUCGUGAGUUGGUACUUUAUACAUGUAUAGGGUGUAGUGGUCCAAAAGUCAGUGGGUAUAUGUUGGCCUCAAUUGCUCCGCCGUGUUUUACAUUUGAGAACUGUAGCUUUGCAGAUGUAAUGCCAUAUAACUGUUUUUACCAUGGUAAAUGGUUCGACGAGAUUCCGUCGUCGAAAUUUAUGGUUUUGCAUAUUUGCACAGUGGAACUAUCAGGUUUAUUAAGUAUCAACGUCUUUAUCAACGCAGCUGCGCAUAAUUAUUCUACUUAGUUUAACUCUCUUUCUAUUUUAGCUGAAUUCCAUUCCCUCCCUCUUCGAGAUGAUUGCUUCCGUCAAUUGCGAAGGACUCGCUCAAGAUAGAGAGAUAAUAUUAAGACGAGCGGAUCGAUAAAUCGAAGAAUUAAUUCAUAAACUCGAUUGUGUUUCAUAUAGUUUCAUCUGCAAGAUGGUAGACUUCUUCACUUCUCAGUUCUCAAAGCUCGACGAUCUUCAUAUUAUAUUAUACUUAUAGGAUAAAGGGUCAAAUUACAGAUAGUAAUUGAGAGCGGCUUUAGAAAUCAGGGAACGUGACCUAUACAUAGCAUAGAUUAUCUCUUAAUCAGGUAACAUGUUAAAUUGAGGGUAAUUGUUACAAUCUCUUAAUGUGUACGGCAGAUUAUAUCGUUAGUCAUAACAAAUAUUUGUCCACCUACAUGUUUACAAUUGGCCCUUACUCACACAUAUAACCAAUACUCCACACUUUCCUGUUACUGGCGACCCCAGGCUAUAAUUAUCAUUAACAUAGACAUUCGGUGAAAUGAAAGGCUGGGCGCCACCCAGUCUGAGGGUUACUGUGCCCAGUAACUCCACCGUCUACACGUGCGCGCGGCUCUAACCGUGCUUCAAUCGAAGCAAUGCUAAUUAUAGUGGUUACACUCACAGUCACACACACACACACACAGAAUAGUAAACCUAAGAGUUCAUGAAUCCGAUAUUUUGGAACAGUAAGACAGAAUUGAGACAAAUUUGGAACAGGCUUUUGGGGCAGUAGUUAUGCCUGGACUGACUUAAAAUUGAUCUGGUAUAAGGGGCAUGGGAACUAACAUGUUCAGUCACUGAUCAGAAGUGCCAAAUGAUCCCCUGGUUCAUGAAAUGAACGAAAUGAACAAAAAUGAACUUUCCAUAAAAUCGCCUGAAAUGAGUUGAAAUCAAUCAGAAUCGAUUGGUAUUGAUACUAGGAGUAUUCCUGAAAAGUUUGGAGGCUCUAGCAUGCUCAGAAAGGGCUCUAAGGGCAAUGUCCCAUUUUGGUUUCAGAGUAGUUGAGAUUUUGGAACUGGAUUGAGACAAAUUUGGAACAGGCUUUUGGGCAGUAGUUAUGCCUGGACUGACUUAAAAUUGAUCUGUUAUGGUAGAGGGGCAAUGGGCAUGUGAACUAACAUGUUCAGUCUCUCAGAAGUGCCAAAUAAUCCCUUGGUUCAUGAAAUGAACGAAAUGAAUAAAAAUGAACUUGAUCCUAAAAUCGUUGUAAUCACUCUAACAUCUAAACCCAGCCCAACUUGGCAACACUGUCCAACCUUCUCCUUCAUAUAUGAUAUAAUUGCAUAAUUCUCCUUAGUAACCCGUCCCCGUCGCCAUAGUUACAGACGUAAACAGGACAUGAGUGGAAUAUCGUUCAUAAAAGGCUAUAAGCAAGCAUACUAACUAAUCCGCUUUACCAAGGUGUGUCAUAUAAUGUACAUACAAUUAUUUACACGCAAUAUUUGGCGCUUAAAUCUGCCCCGUACAUUCAACAACUAUAUUCCGGGCGAAUAAGGUGUCCACUUCAUAGUUAAAUAUUGUGAUCAUUUAGUCGCGUUGUUUAUCGUGAGUUGGUACUUGAUGAAUGUAUAUAAUAAGGGCGGGCCAAACAUCAGUUGGUAUACGUUGGCCUCAAUAGCUCCGCCGUGUUUUACAUUUUACUGUAGCUUUGCAGAUGGCAUAUAACUGUAUUUACUAUGGUUCGACGAGAUUCCGUCGUCAAAAUGUAUGUUUUUGCAUAUUUGUACAGUGGAACAAUCAGGUUUAUCAACUAUCAACGUCUUUAUCAACGCAUUAUUAUUCUACUCAGUUUAACC